Molecule: ribosomal RNA, 301 nt
Filed under: uncultured bacterium
Lineage: Bacteria
Description: partial 16S ribosomal RNA
Rfam family: Bacterial small subunit ribosomal RNA
Source: RNAcentral
CAGCAGCCACGGGAAUACGAAGGGGGCUAGCGUUGCUCGGAAUUACUGGGCGUAAAGGGAGCGUAGGCGGAUCGUUAAGUUGGGGGUGAAAGCCCGGGGCUCAACCUCGGAACUGCCUUCAAUACUGGCGAUCUUGAGUAUGAGAGAGGUGUGUGGAACUCCGAGUGUAGAGGUGAAAUUCGUAGAUAUUCGGAAGAACACCAGUGGCGAAGGCGACACACUGGCUCAUUACUGACGCUGAGGCUCGAAAGCGUGGGGAGCAAACAGGAUUAGAUACCCCCGUAGUCCCUGUCUCUUAUAC